ACGUAGGUGGCGAGCGUUAUCCGGAAUUACUGGGCGUAAAGCGCACGCAGGUGGUUACUUAAGUCUGAUGUGAAAGCUCCUGGCUUAACUGGGAGAGGUCGUUGGAAACUGGGUAACUUGAGGUGAUGAGAGGGGUGUGGAAUUCCCGGUGUAGUGGUGGAAUGCGUAGAUAUCGGGGGGAACACCAGUGGCGAAAGCGGCACCCUGGCAUUGACCUGACGCUCAGGUGCGAAAGCGUGGGUAGCGAACGGG
This 252-nucleotide ribosomal RNA is filed under the name uncultured bacterium. RNAcentral's name for it is "partial 16S ribosomal RNA". It matches the Rfam family "Bacterial small subunit ribosomal RNA", at positions 525 to 776 of the family's 1533-position model. The record is from RNAcentral.